AUUGAACGCUGGCGGCAGGCCUAACACAUGCAAGUCGAACGGUAACAGGAAGCAGCUUACUGCUUCGCUGACGAGUGGCGGACGGGUGAGUAAUGUCUGGGAAACUGCCUGAUGGAGGGGGAUAACUACUGGAAACGGUAGCUAAUACCGCAUAAUGUCGCAAGACCAAAGAGGGGGACCUUCGGGCCUCUUGCCAUCGGAUGUGCCCAGAUGGGAUUAGCUCGGAGGGGGGGUAACGGCUCACCUAGGCGACGAUCCCUAGCUGGUAUGAGAGGACGACCAGCCACACUGGAAGUGGGACACGGUCCAGACUCCUACGGGAGGCAGCAGUGGGGAAUAUUGCACAAUGGGCGAAAGCCUGAUGCAGCCAUGCCGCGUGUAUGAAGAAGGCCUUCGGGUUGUAAAGUACUUUCAGCGGGGGGGAAGGCGAUAAGGUUAAUAACCUUGUCGAUUGACGUUAUCCGCAGAAGAAGCACCGGCUAACUCCGUGCCAGCAGCCGCGGUAA
Molecule: ribosomal RNA, 506 nt
Filed under: uncultured bacterium
Lineage: Bacteria
Description: partial 16S ribosomal RNA
Rfam family: Bacterial small subunit ribosomal RNA
Source: RNAcentral